UUAAUUAAUCUGAGAAAAAAUAACGCAUAUUAAUCCAUUCCGUAUUGACCUUUGAACCUGGAGCCGUUCUAGCCACCAUUCGACUGUAAAAUGAAGGAGGGAGACGACUGCUGCACUGACGGUCAUAACGAGCAGAGCUCCUCCCUCGUGCGCGCGAGCUCUCUUCAUCUUCAAAAAUAAUUCCUCCCACACUUUUGGCUCUAAAAAUGCAGUCAAGCGGACUGUAAUACACUCUCUGGCGAGAGUCCUCCAUUUGCAGCCUGCAGACGCAUCACUCGCCCCGGGCCCCCAGGGGCCCCGCAUCGGACCAACAACUGCCCCGCCUGGGAGAGACAGUGGGAAGAUUAAUACAGCAGCUCUCAUCGGCAGCCAUGCAGGUACCGGGGCCGUGAUACUUACAUCUGUGAUCAGCUCGACUUUACACGUGUUCACUGACGCAUUACACGCAAGACAACGUGCUGUACAUAAACGCUCUGCCUACAGACGCUCUCAGUCAUAUAUGCAGCACCUAACUCUCAUUCACAAUAGGUUUGAGGGAAUCAGAUUUCUCUGUAUUAAUCUGUGUGUGUGUGUGUGUAAAAAGGUCAAAAAUUGAAUUAAAUCGGACAAAACUGGAGACAUCCAGAAAAGUCUUCAAUUAAAAAAUGAUUUAUAAAAUAUGUAUGUAUUUGCUUGUUACUUUCUGUUGUUGUUAUUAUAAUUAACUUAACUUACAUAUUUUACAAUAAAGUUCUGAUAUGUCCUCAAUUUGCUACUUAAACAUGUAUGUGUGUAGAUUUAGAAAUUUGAGAGGUGGAAUUCUUUUUGGUCAAAAAUAUGAAGCUUUUGGGUAACAUUUAACAAUAAGGUUCAUUUGUUAACAUUAGUUAAUGUAUUAUGAACUAACAAUGAGUAAUACAUUUGUUACAGUAUUUAUUAAUCUUUGUUAACAUUAGUUAAU
This is a long non-coding RNA of Megalobrama amblycephala (Wuchang bream), 940 nucleotides long. RefSeq lists it as uncharacterized. The record is from RefSeq and is a predicted model, not a curated record. Lineage: Eukaryota; Metazoa; Chordata; Actinopteri; Cypriniformes; Xenocyprididae. The transcript is spliced from 3 exons.